GCCACGGCGAUGCGGCCCGGCUACGGAUGCGGGGCUUUGGACCCCGUGGCCCGGGUUCGAAUCCCGGCCGGGCU
Molecule: transfer RNA, 74 nt
Filed under: Thermoproteus uzoniensis 768-20
Lineage: Archaea; Thermoproteati; Thermoproteota; Thermoprotei; Thermoproteales; Thermoproteaceae
Description: tRNA-Gln
Rfam family: tRNA (bases 15-74)
About the family: Transfer RNA (tRNA) molecules are approximately 80 nucleotides in length. Their secondary structure includes four short double-helical elements and three loops (D, anti-codon, and T loops). Further hydrogen bonds mediate the characteristic L-shaped molecular structure. tRNAs have two regions of fundamental functional importance: the anti-codon, which is responsible for specific mRNA codon recognition, and the 3' end, to which the tRNAs corresponding amino acid is attached (by aminoacyl-tRNA synthetases). tRNAs cope with the degeneracy of the genetic code in two manners: having more than one tRNA (with a specific anti-codon) for a particular amino acid; and 'wobble' base-pairing, i.e. permitting non-standard base-pairing at the 3rd anti-codon position.
Source: RNAcentral